RNAcentral lists this ribosomal RNA (433 nucleotides) under uncultured bacterium. Its description in RNAcentral is "partial 16S ribosomal RNA". It matches the Rfam family "Bacterial small subunit ribosomal RNA", at positions 29 to 507 of the family's 1533-position model. The record is from RNAcentral.
AACGAACGCUGGCGGCAUGUCUAACACAUGCAAGUCGAACGAGACCUUCGGGUCUAGUGGCGCACGGGUGCGUAACGCGUGGGAAUCUGCCCUUGGGUUCGGAAUAACAGUGAGAAAUUACUGCUAAUACCGGAUGAUGUCUUCGGACCAAAGAUUUAUCGCCCAGGGAUGAGCCCGCGUAGGAUUAGCUAGUUGGUGGGGUAAUGGCCUACCAAGGCGACGAUCCUUAGCUGGUCUGAGAGGAUGAUCAGCCACACUGGGACUGAGACACGGCCCAGACUCCUACGGGAGGCAGCAGUGGGGAAUAUUGGACAAUGGGCGCAAGCCUGAUCCAGCAAUGCCGCGUGAGUGAUGAAGGCCUUAGGGUUGUAAAGCUCUUUUACCCGGGAUGAUAAUGACAGUACCGGGAGAAUAAGCUCCGGCUAACUCCGUG